RNAcentral lists this ribosomal RNA (253 nucleotides) under uncultured bacterium. Its description in RNAcentral is "partial 16S ribosomal RNA". It matches the Rfam family "Bacterial small subunit ribosomal RNA", at positions 524 to 776 of the family's 1533-position model. The record is from RNAcentral.
UACGUAGGGGGCAAGCGUUGUCCGGAUUUAUUGGGCGUAAAGAGCGUGUAGGCGGCUUGGUAGGUCCGCUGUGAAAACUCGAGGCUCAACCUCGAGAUGUCGGCGGAAACCACUUGGCUAGAGUCCGGAAGAGGAGAGUGGAAUUCCUGGUGUAGCGGUGAAAUGCGCAGAUAUCAGGAAGAACACCUAUGGCGAAGGCAGCUCUCUGGGACGGUACUGACGCUGAGACGCGAAAGCGUGGGGGGCAAACAGG